This 2053-nucleotide long non-coding RNA is filed under the name Ananas comosus (pineapple). RNAcentral describes it as "long non-coding RNA (ACOM_LNC003669)". Lineage: Eukaryota; Viridiplantae; Streptophyta; Magnoliopsida; Poales; Bromeliaceae. The record is from RNAcentral.
GCAUAUGUGACAAGGCAGGACCUGGUUAUGUCAUUGUGGCUAUAUAUUCCCAAAAUUGGGAAUUGUAUCAUACUCACAUUGGUUCCGGCUUGAGGGAGGUAGCUCCUCCUCAAGCGGUGUACUCCGGAGUGUAGACACCACGGGGAGAGUACCCCGACGAAGAUCCCUCGGGUGGUAGUGCCAAGUGCCUCCCGUGGUAGACGGGAUAUAUGGAUUGUGAGUUUGGGGUUAACAAGUGUUAACCGAGAUAAUUGGGUAAAGGCCAAAGUGAAUGUGUGAAAGCAUGCAUUAUGAGUUACGGAUUUGGUAAUCCAGUUGAGUGGAUUUAUGGCUGAGGUGCAUGUGAGACGUCCUUCACCUCGAGCCUGGAUGUAUGCGGUAUUCCUCAGAUGAUUGACUCGAGACCGAGUCGGGUGGUUAGCUUGGCUAGGGUCGAGGAAAACCUUAGGAGCAAAUAACCAAUGAUAUAAAGUGACAAGAUGUAUAAAUUAUGGAAAAGCUAUGGAUAGCAUGAUACAAAGUAAAAUCAUUUAUUCUACUUGUAUAGUUGCACGGUUUCAUAUUGCAUAUCGCGAGGUAUGACAUGUAGUUCAAUAUCGGGUAAAAGUAUAAAUAUCUGUAUUAUGUUAUUGGACUAACUUGUUGCAGUGCCUCAUUGGACCUAUUGGUCGAGCUUUUCUCUUGGGUGGCCGUACCCACUGGGAACCAUGGAGUUAGUUCUCACCACACGCUGUUUUGGGGUGUUACAGGUUCACACGUGAGCGGCGCGGCGGCGGGAAGCGAGGGCGUAACUCCGUAGUUAGCGCCCUUGUCACGCCCCGGAUGUCUCGUUCCCCGGGCACGCCGACAAAUCCGCCGUAUAUAAAAGAAUUUUCCCUGUAUACGAAGCGACAGUUGUACCUGUAGAUAUACAAUACUACAAAUAGUAGCAUAGAGCUGCUCAAAUAAACAAACGGAGUUUCAUAUACAUAGAUUAAAUCCAAAAUACAUAGUUACUCGCACUAGCGAGUUAAGUAAGCUAUGUACAUAAACUCAGACAAACAUCUACCUGCAGCAGAGGUGCCACUAGCUCUGUUAGUCAGGUAGGGCUCUAACUCGCGACACCCUUGCCUCGAUCCUGAUCCGCGGAAGGCGCAGCAGCCGAAACCUGUGGCUCUGCAAAACAAGAGUAACAACUGGGCAUGAGAACUACUGUAAAAACAAGUAGUUCUCAGUGGGUACCGCCCAAAACAACAUCGGUCACCCACUAAGUCUACAGAAGGGAGCAAGAAUAGUAGGAAAAGCAGGAAGUACACUCUACCGCUAUCAAUCACUACACUAUCAUGCUCUACACUAACCAACUGUAGGAAAUGUCAAAUCUGACCCAAUCCAAUCGGGACUGUAAGUAUACCCGUCCCCGGGACUGUGAAUACACCCGUCCCUGCCCCGUUGCGACUGUCGAGCUACCUCCACACUAACUGGUCUGUGGAGAGCAAGUCUAACUAGCAUGAGCGACACCAACGCGAAAGCACAAAGCCUGACUCCGGAGUGGCACUCGUGGGCGCUAUUCCACCAAGUAUGCUAGCGUAUCUCUGUCGAGCUCAAACAGGCUCUGAAAAGCCAAAGUCAAGUAACCGACUCUAACAAGUCUAAUAACUAACAGUUCACGUGCCCUCGGCACAAUCUGUCGCCAAAAAGACGAUCCGGGUCCACUGUCAAUUCUGACGGCACCCAACAGUCCGAAACAGCCUGAACGCUACUGUAAAAAUAUACUCGGCACCCCGGCACGAGCGUAACUGAAAGCUAAACUACCUGGAAUACUCACUAUGAGGAUACUGCUACAGUAUAAAAUAAUACCACGGCCCCUAGGGCUAAAUCAGGUAGUUUAAAUAUAUGACGAUCAUAAUCGCGAGUUUUCUCCUAAGUCUUAUCCAAGUCCAACAUGUAUAUUUAGGGUUUACUAAUCAUGUCCUCAAGCUAAUUUCAUUCAUUAUACAAUCGACGAAAUUAAGCUACCACAUGAUUUACAAAAACAGGAAAUCAUACAUGUCGACUGAAUAAACCGAUGUAACCC